RNAcentral lists this long non-coding RNA (349 nucleotides) under Mytilus galloprovincialis (Mediterranean mussel). Lineage: Eukaryota; Metazoa; Mollusca; Bivalvia; Mytilida; Mytilidae. The record is from RNAcentral.
UGAAAAAAUACAAUUAAUUAUUAUUAUAUACACCAAACGAAAAGACCAAACUACAAAGAACUUGUUGAUUACGUAACUUUAAUUAAUCAGGAUUUGAUUGAAUUAAGUGAUUACGAGUAGCAUUACCUUAGUUCACAAUCAUCAGACAAUUGUUGAAUAAACAAACCAAUUCUAGACUUAUGAUUUGGUUAAACAAGACAUUAUGAUGAGUUAAACAAUUACCAGCAAGAUUUUAUUUACAGAGUUGUGCAUAUGCAUAAUGCUCUUCUUACUAAAGAUAAUAAAAAAAGACGAAAUUAUAGUAAUGUUUUUCCGAUAUGCUAUUUCUGUAACUCGGAAAAUGAAACCC